UAUAAAUACUAUUAGAACAAAUAAGAACAAAAAUGACACUAAAAAUGUUGCAGCUGCUCUAGACAAAAUGAAGUUCACCAAAAAAUCACGUUUUACAUUCACCAAUAAAUAGAUGAUCAAUUAACAAUUCAUAAUUAAUCUUUAACUUGUAGAUGAUGUAAAGACAAACUUUAUCUGAGGUGAAAACAUUUAGCCAAAAACAGAUCACAUGACCUUAGAGAAGACGUAUACUGUGAUGUAGACAAAUCAAUUUUUCCAUUUUUGCAAUGUGAAAUAAAGUCCAUCAGUCAGUACCACAGAUAAAACCCUCAUUAAUCCUCUAACACCAAUAAUCUGAGCAUUAAUAAUAAUGUUACAAUGACAUUAACAUUUAUCAUCUGCAUGACAAAUACAGGACGUGAAGAUGGCAAAUGUAUAAGAUACAAAUAUAAGCUCUAAGAAGUGUUAUUGCUUUAAUAUGUGAGUUUCAAUGAAAAGAGGAGUAUCUAAAUAUUCAAAAAUGUAUUUAUGUUGUGUAAAAUUGUGGAAACAUUUACAAGUUUAUGUGUAAAAAGAGUUACAGUUGUUACUUGGACUGGAGGAGCAAUGUGUGUUGGAAGACUAAAACAUAACUCAGAUAUUUACACUUUGGUUAAAGUGAGAGAAGUUGAGAUGCAGUGUUCAAACUGUAAUCACAAUGAAA
Long non-coding RNA from Thunnus maccoyii (southern bluefin tuna), 682 nucleotides. RefSeq lists it as uncharacterized. Lineage: Eukaryota; Metazoa; Chordata; Actinopteri; Scombriformes; Scombridae. The record is from RefSeq and is a predicted model, not a curated record. The transcript has 4 exons.